RNAcentral lists this ribosomal RNA (468 nucleotides) under uncultured bacterium. Its description in RNAcentral is "partial 16S ribosomal RNA". It matches the Rfam family "Bacterial small subunit ribosomal RNA", at positions 28 to 507 of the family's 1533-position model. The record is from RNAcentral.
GACGAACGCUGGCGGCGUGUUUAACACAUGCAAGUCGAACGGAAAGGCCCUGCUUUUGUGGGGUGCUCGAGUGGCGAACGGGUGAGUAACACGUGAGUAACCUGCCCUUGACUUUGGGAUAACUUCAGGAAACUAGGGCUAAUACCGGAUAGGAGCUCCUGCUGCAUGGUGGGGGUUGGAAAGUUUCGGCGGUUGGGGAUGGACUCGCGGCUUAUCAGCUUGUUGGUGGGGUAGUGGCUUACCAAGGCUUUGACGGGUAGCCGGCCUGAGAGGGUGACCGGCCACAUUGGGACUGAGAUACGGCCCAGACUCCUACGGGAGGCAGCAGUGGGGAAUAUUGCACAAUGGGCGGAAGCCUGAUGCAGCAACGCCGCGUGCGGGAUGACGGCCUUCGGGUUGUAAACCGCUUUCGCCUGUGACGAAGCGUGAGUGACGGUAAUGGGUAAAGAAGCACCGGCUAACUACGUG